AUUACCUACAGCCACCUAGAAUUACCUGGUGACCAGAAUAAGCUGUGCUUAUUUCUUCCCAUCAGCCCUGAAUGCAGCUAAGACAGAGUGAUUCAAGUUCAGAGGUAGAAUCUCUGUGACCGCUCUGUAAAGUUAGAUUUCAGAGAUGAAUCACAUUCCUACUUCCAGUGCUGAGAGGCCUUUGCCUCCCAUUGAUUUCAGGAGGAGUUGCAUGUGCUUAAUGUCCAAAGUGUAGUAGCCACAUUUUGAGGCCAGCUCUGCACUGAGUGCCUCCCAUCGCUCUCAUUAGGCACCUGGAACCUGACCCGGAUCACGGAGCAAUCGCUGCCGCUGCGCUUCGCCGUGGCACCACCUCCACCCCGCUGAGAUAAAGCACCUACUUGGACCUCUUUGGCUCUGAAGAUUCACUGGAGAAGAGAGCACAAGUGUUUCUGGAGAGCGAGGAAGAAGAAAAUUAGUCUUUCAACAGGCUAUCAUUACAUAAUCCCCACAGGUCUGCUCAAGGCAGAAGAGAAACACAGGAGAAGCAAUGCCAGAAGACACCUGGGGAAACGGUGUCCCCUUCCUCCUCUGGGCUUGUGUGGAAAGCCCUUAGAAAAUUUUCAAACUGCCUUGCUUUCUGCUUUCCUGAUUGUUCAGUGAUAAUAAAAAAAGGAUGGCAAAGACGAAAAGCCUUUAAAGGACCGAGGUUUGGAGCUCUAUUUCCAUUUCCCGGGCUACUGAAACCACCCACUAGCUUAUAUAGUCCUUAGGCAUCCUCUUCCCUGAAUUUAUCCUCACAGGACACCAUUGCUUACAGUUUUUCCAUUCUAUAUAGGUUCUUAUACUGCCCUCGUCACCGCAGUAGCUGAGUGCCUUCAGGUAGUGCAUUAUGUGAUGUGAUUAACAUCUGUGACAGCCAAAGCAGGAGGCAGAAACAGUUAAGGCCCCAGUAGCUUUCUCCCUACACAGCAUUUCACUUUCCAACACUAAUAACUUUCUCUCUGUGAAUACACAGCUAGAUUGUUGUGGUCACAUUUGUAGCAGAUCAGCAACAUUUCCUUCCCUCUGAUGCUGAAUUUCUCACUUUAGUAAGGCAGUGUGGGGAUCAUUCUCCUUUAUUCACCGACAUGCCAAAUGCAUAAGAUAUUAUUCUUCAAUUAUAUUUAUUUUAAGAAUACCAGCAGUGACCACAAAAACAUGGUAGGCAAGGUAGCCCAGACUGGAGACGCAAGCCACAGGCUUCAGAAAAGGUCUGCGUAAGACACAGCAUUUGGCACUACCUGCAGUGUGAGGGGAAAUUUUUCAGCACCAGACUCAGCCUUACAAGCCUUGGGGUGGAGGUUAAAGGGGCACCGUGUUCCCCAGGAGUGACAACUGAAGAUCCCAUUGCAGGAGAACUCGCAUAUGGGAACAAUAUGCCUGCAAAUCUUUUAAACGCAUGCAAUUGCUUUGCCAGAGCAAUUGAUAUG
Molecule: long non-coding RNA, 1451 nt
Filed under: Cyanistes caeruleus (blue tit)
Lineage: Eukaryota; Metazoa; Chordata; Aves; Passeriformes; Paridae
Description: lncRNA (ENSCCEG00000014886.1)
Source: RNAcentral